Molecule: long non-coding RNA, 4112 nt
Organism: Symphalangus syndactylus (siamang)
Lineage: Eukaryota; Metazoa; Chordata; Mammalia; Primates; Hylobatidae
Source: RefSeq, a predicted model, not a curated record
UCAAAAGAUUAAUACAACUGAGUAACUUUCGAGGCACCCUCUUAGACACUGGCUCAGUUUCUUCUCUUUCAGCAAGCUGAGCUGCAGUGACUGCCAACAGGGAGAGAAAGAAGGUGAUUGCAUGAGAUGCCAAUAGAAUCAAUAAAUACAGAGCGAAUUUGAAGAGCAAGGUACUGUGGCAGCCAUUUUGAAACAAAGAUGAUUCAUUCGAAAGAUGGAGUCUCAUUGUGUUGCCAGGCUGGAGUGCAGUGGUGCGAUCUCAGCUUACUGCAGCCUCCACCUCCCGGGUUCAAGCGAUUCUCCUGCGUCAGCCUCCCGAGUAGCUGGGACUACAGGCACACACCACCACCCCCAGCUAAUUUUUGUAUUUUUAGUAGAGAUGGGGUUUCACCAUGUUGGCCAGGAUGGUCUCGAUCUCUUGACCUCAUGAUCCACCUGCCUUGGCCUCCCGAAGUGCUGGGAUUACAGCACCACCGCACCCAGCCUAUGAAUUGACGCCAUCAAGCUACAGAUGGUCUUACAAACGGAACUCCAAAUGAGUUCAACUAACAACUUCUACCGAGGACUCCUGGACCGACCCACUGGCCCUUUCACUGGCCAACAGAGCUCCCCUCUGGAGGACGCUACAACUGCAGGGCCCCUUCUUCACCCCUAUCCAGCAGGAAGUAGCUAGAGCAGUCAUCAGCCAAAUUCCCAACAGCGGUUGGGGUGUCCUGUUUAGAGGGGAAAUUCAGAGGUGACAACAUGCCAGCAGUCCUCGCUAGCUCUCGAUGCUUCCUCAGCCAUAGCAUCCGCUCUGGCCAUGCUUGAGGAGUCCUUCAGCCUGCCGCUGCACUGUGAGGCCCCUCUCUGGGGCUGGCCGAGGCCAGAGCCAGCUCCGUCUGCUCGCAGGAGCUGUAACACUCGCCAUGAAGGUCUGCAGCUUCACUCCUGAAGCCAGUGAGACCACAAACCCACCAGAAGGAAGAAACUCUGGACACAUCUGAACAUCUGAAGGAAGAAACUCCAGACACACCAUCUUUAAGAACUGUAACAUUCACCGUGAGGGUCCACAGCUUCAUUCUUUUUUUUUUUUUUUUUUUUGAGAUGGAGUCUCGCUCUCUCACCCAGGCUGGAGUGCAGUGGCGCGAUCUCGGCUCACUGCAAGCUCCGCCUCCCGGGUUCACGCCAUUCUCCUGCCUCAGCCUCUCCAAGUAGCUGGGACUACAGGCGCCCACCACCACGCCUGGCUAAUUUUUUGUAUUUUUAGUAGAGACAGGGUUUCACCGUGGUCUCGAUCUCCCGACCUCAUGAUCCGCCCGCCUCGGCCUCCCAAAGUGCUGGGAUUACAAGCGUGAGCCACCGCGCCCGGCAGCUUCAUUCUUGAAGUCAGCAAGACCAAGAACCCACCAAUUCCGGAAACUAAAAAAUCCUGCCUCAGCUUCCCAAAAUGCUAGGAUUACAGAUAUGAGUCACUGCACGUGGCUGAUAUAAACUUUUUAUUGAGAAAGAAACAAACUGUUCACACAUAGGCACUUCACAACCAAGAGAUAAGAAUGGCCCUCUUAUAAAGGUUAGAGUAAGGCUUAUAAAGAGUAAAAGAAGUUCAUAGAGCUUAACUUUCAUUGGUUAUUUUAAAGUAUCUUUUCCUUUUAGGGCAAGUAGCUUACUUAGGCUGUAGCUGAUUGGCUACAAUGUGUUGAUUCAUGCCGAAGGAGGAAAUAAAUUUCAAGAGUUCAUUAUAAUUUAAGUGAGUAUUUCAGGAAAUGGGGCUUAAUGACUUUUGCUGAGCUGGCUGUAGGCCACUGGCUCAGAGGCAAAGGUCAGCCCCAGCCCCCAUUUUGAUUUCUAUUUUACAAUAUAUAAUCGGUAUAAGUGUUAAACAACAAUGCAAUCAGGAUAAUCAACAACCGUACUUGUCCAUAGGCCAGCGUUCUGCUCCUGGUCUCCCACCUCUCCUCAUAUCUAUCUGUAAGACAUUGGUUAAGACACAAGCUGGAGGCCUGGGGGCCUUGUAAAAAUAGCAAUGGAGAGGAUGGAGGGCAUCAGGUGAGAAUUCUUCAUCCUUUCUACUUACGAAUUUUAUUCUAGCUCUAUUAGUGGGGUAAAAGUAUAUUACAGCAGAUGACUACCAUUUCAAAUGUGGGCCCUGGCAAGCCCUGUCCUGAUCUGUGAAGACCAAGGCCAGCUACUCCAACCCUGCAAGUCAGGCUAACAAGAUCAGACUAAUCUCAUCCUCUGCUGAAAGUAAGAACACAGGCUUCAGAGUGAAAGGUAUGCAGCCAGGCUUUCAACUCCAGCUUGAAGACAUUUGGCAAAUCACUGAGGUGUUGCACUUUCCUGCCCUGGAAGAUGGUGCGACAAUCUAUCUAACUCAAAGGGCUGUUGAAAGGACUGAAUGAGAGAACAAGUUAAGUAAGCACUCAGCACAGUGCCUGGUACAAGAUAAUUGCUUAAUAAAUGUUGAAGUUCAAAUUAUGAUUUAAAUGGAUUGUAAGAUUGAGGCAAGGACUGUGUCUAAUAUCUUGUUCACAUGUUUCUUGUACUGAUAGCCCACCCUCUUGCCUACCUAGCACAGUGGGUCAGAUGUCAAUUAAGAAUGAAGGAAUACCAGGCCAUGCGCAGUGGCUCAUGCCAAUAAUCCCAGCACUUUGGGAGGCUGAGGUAGGUGGAUCACUUGCACUUAGGAGUUCAAGGUCAGCCUGGGCAACAUGGUGAAACUCCAUCUCUACAAAAAAUACAAAAAUUAGUCGGGCAUGGUGGCAGGCACCUGUAAUCCCAGCUACUCGAGAGGCUGAGGUGGGAGGAUUGCUUAAGCCCAGGAGGCCAAGGCUGCAGUGAUCUGCAAUCGCACCACUGCACUCCAGCCUGGGUGACAGAGUGAGACCAUGUCGCAAAAAAAAGAAUGAAUGAAUGCCAUCUACACACAUUAGGAUGGCUAUAAUCCAAAAGAAAAGGAAGAGAAGAGAAGGGAAGGAAGGGAAGGGGAGGGGAAGGGAAGGGGAGGGAAGAGGAGGGAAGGGAAGGGAAGGGAAGGGAAGGGAAGGGAAGGGAAGGGAAGGGAAGGACAAGUGUUCAGACAUCUGGAAGAAAUUGGAACCUUGUGUUGAUGCGAAUGCAAAAUGGUGCAGCUGCUAUAGAAAACAGUAUGGAAGUUCCCACAAAGUUAAAAAUAGAACUACCAUAUGAUCCCACAAUUCCACUUCUGGGUAUAUACCAAAAAAAGAAUUGCAAGGAGGAGCCGGAUGUGGUAGCUCACAACUGUAAUCCCAGCACUUUGGGAGGCUGAGGCAGGCAGAUCACUUUAGGUCGGGUCACCAGCCUGGCCAACGUGGCAAAACUCCUCCGUACUAAAAAUACAAAAAAAAAUUAGCCAAGUGUGGCUGUGCAUGCGUGCAGUCCCAGCUACUCUGGGGGCUGAGGUGGGAGGAUAACUUGAACCUGGUUGGAUAACUCCAACCGGGAGAUGGAGGUUGCAGUGAGCCAAGAUCGUGCCACUGCACUACAGCCUGGGAGACAGAGUGAGACCCUGUCUCAAAACAUAAAAUAAAAUAAAACAAGAAUUGAAAGGAGGGGGUUGAACAGAUAUUUGUACACCCUUGUUCAUAGCAGCAUUAUUCCCAGUAGCCAAAAGGUGGAAGCAAUCUGAAUAUUCACUGAUGGAUGAAUAAACUGUGGUAUAUACAUAUAAUGGAGUAUUACCCUUAAAAAGGAAGGAAAUUCUAACACAUGCUACAACAUGGAGGAACCUGGAGGAGAUUAUGCUAAGUGAAAUAAGCCAGUCACAAAAAGACAAAUAUGCAUGAUUUCACUUAUACAAGGACCUAAAAUAGAUCAUAGAGACAGUAGAAUCAUGGUUGACAGUGUCUGGUUUGAGGAGUUAUUUAAUAGGUACAGAGUGUCAGUUCUGCAAGAUUAAAAGCGUUCUAGAGAUUGGUUGAACAACAAUGUGAACAUACUUAACCCUACUGAAGUGUACACUUAAAAUAGGUAAGAUGGUAAAUUUUGUGUUAUGUGUAUUUAUCACAAUUGAAAAUUUUUAAUAAAGAGGAAUAAAUGAAUGUGUUGACAUAUGCUAUGCCAUAAAUAAACCUUGAAAACAUUAGAUUAAGUGAAAGAAGCCAGAUGAAAAA